RNAcentral lists this ribosomal RNA (537 nucleotides) under Stenotrophomonas sp. RNAcentral describes it as "bacterial SSU rRNA". It matches the Rfam family "Bacterial small subunit ribosomal RNA", at positions 389 to 917 of the family's 1533-position model. Lineage: Bacteria; Pseudomonadati; Pseudomonadota; Gammaproteobacteria; Lysobacterales; Lysobacteraceae. The record is from RNAcentral.
CAGCCAUACCGCGUGGGUGAAGAAGGCCUUCGGGUUGUAAAGCCCUUUUGUUGGGAAAGAAAUCCAGCUGGCUAAUACCCGGUUGGGAUGACGGUACCCAAAGAAUAAGCACCGGCUAACUUCGUGCCAGCAGCCGCGGUAAUACGAAGGGUGCAAGCGUUACUCGGAAUUACUGGGCGUAAAGCGUGCGUAGGUGGUCGUUUAAGUCCGUUGUGAAAGCCCUGGGCUCAACCUGGGAACUGCAGUGGAUACUGGGCGACUAGAAUGUGGUAGAGGGUAGCGGAAUUCCUGGUGUAGCAGUGAAAUGCGUAGAGAUCAGGAGGAACAUCCAUGGCGAAGGCAGCUACCUGGACCAACAUUGACACUGAGGCACGAAAGCGUGGGGAGCAAACAGGAUUAGAUACCCUGGUAGUCCACGCCCUAAACGAUGCGAACUGGAUGUUGGGUGCAAUUUGGCACGCAGUAUCGAAGCUCGCGUUAAGUUCGCCGCCUGGGGAGUACGGUCGCAAGACUGAAACUCAAANNNAAUUUGACGGA